GCUGCCUGGCCCGCUGAGUUACUCCAGCAUUUUGUGUCUAUCUUUGCUGUAUAGUUGUUCAUCCAACCCUAAACUCAAGUUUUAGCUUUAAUUUUGUGUUAAACCAGUUUACUUUUUAAAAAAUUCAAUAAAUGGGGA
Amblyraja radiata (thorny skate) is the source of this 138-nucleotide long non-coding RNA. RefSeq lists it as uncharacterized. The transcript has 3 exons. NCBI's taxonomy places the organism in Eukaryota, Metazoa, Chordata, Chondrichthyes, Rajiformes, Rajidae. The record is from RefSeq and is a predicted model, not a curated record.